AGCUCAAUUUUUAUAACUCUUUCCCAGUUAUACAGUUUAGAUUUCCCAUGUUCUAGUCAUACUGUAAUACAAUUUGACAUGAUCUUUUUUUCUAAUUUCAGUCGCUCGCAAAAGACAAGGGUUACAGGUCCAAAAAAUAAUUUCUUUUAUCGUGUGUGUUAUUUCUCCGAUCGUAACUAUUUUGGGAAUAGCCAUUCUAGCGACCCAGGAUGGUGCAAGAUACCCUAUCAUUGGUGGUUCACCUAUAUAUGUCGGAGUUUAUG
Molecule: long non-coding RNA, 263 nt
Filed under: Mytilus galloprovincialis (Mediterranean mussel)
Lineage: Eukaryota; Metazoa; Mollusca; Bivalvia; Mytilida; Mytilidae
Source: RNAcentral